AACGCGAAAGGCCCCUUAGGGGGCCGAGUAGAGUGGCGCACGGGUGAGUAACACGUAGGUAAUCUACCUCUGGGUGGGGAAUAACGACCGGAAACGGUCGCUAAUACCGCAUAAUGCAGCGGCACCACAUGGUGACAGUUGUUAAAGCGGGGGAUCGUAAGACCUCGCGCCUAGAGAUGAGCCUGCGGCGGAUUAGCUAGUUGGCAGGGUAACGGCCUACCAAGGCGACGAUCCGUAGCCGGCCUGAGAGGGCGGACGGCCACACUGGCACUGACAUACGGGCCAGACUCCUACGGGAGGCAGCAGUCGGGAAUUUUGGGCAAUGGGCGAAAGCCUGACCCAGCAACGCCGCGUGAAGGAUGAAGCUUUUCGGAGUGUAAACUUCAUAAGAAUGGGACGAAUAAGGAGGGGUUAACACCCCCUCUGAUGACGGUACCAUUUGUAAGCUCCGGCUAACUCCGUGCCAGCAGCCGCGGUAAUACGGGGGGAGCAAGCGUUGUUCGGAUUUACUGGGCGUAAAGGGCGCGUAGGCGGCGCAACAAGUCACUUGUGAAAUCUCCGGGCUUAACCCGGAGCGGCCAAGUGAUACUGUCGUGCUAGAGUGCGGAAGGGGCUACUGGAAUUCUCGGUGUAGCGGUGAAAUGCGUAGAUAUCGAGAGGAACACCUGCGGCGAAGGCGGGUAGCUGGGCCGACACUGACGCCGAGGCGCGAAAGCCAGGGGAGCGAACGGGAUUAGAUACCCCGGUAGUCCUGGCCUAAACGAUGGAUGCUUGGUGU
Molecule: ribosomal RNA, 778 nt
Filed under: uncultured bacterium
Lineage: Bacteria
Description: bacterial SSU rRNA
Rfam family: Bacterial small subunit ribosomal RNA
Source: RNAcentral